This is a long non-coding RNA of Centruroides sculpturatus (bark scorpion), 292 nucleotides long. RefSeq lists it as uncharacterized. The transcript is spliced from 4 exons. Lineage: Eukaryota; Metazoa; Arthropoda; Arachnida; Scorpiones; Buthidae. The record is from RefSeq and is a predicted model, not a curated record.
GAAAGUUUUUCUAAUAAACUUUGACUGCAAGAAAAAAUGUUUUAAUGCAGAAUGCAUUUCAAGAUAUCCGUCAAUUUGCUGUAUCCAAAUUAAAAAUGGAACAGAAGCUAAAGAUUCUUGAUUUCAUGAAAAGAUUCGGGAAGGUUUCAUUGUGUUUUACGAUGGGUGGAUUCUUAGUCGUCGAUAAGAAAAUCCCUUUUAAGGUCGCAAAAACGUUGCAUUCUGUUUUUUCGGGACUUUUAAAAUUAAGAAACGUAUCGAAUGCGAAAAUACACUGCGACAGCAAUUUCAC